RNAcentral lists this microRNA precursor (159 nucleotides) under Oryza brachyantha (malo sina). RNAcentral describes it as "MIR812 microRNA precursor family". It matches the Rfam family "MIR812 microRNA precursor family", at positions 27 to 187 of the family's 205-position model. The record is from Rfam by way of RNAcentral. Lineage: Eukaryota; Viridiplantae; Streptophyta; Magnoliopsida; Poales; Poaceae.
UAUAAUAUUUUAGCUUUUCGUCUUAUUUGAAUUUUUUUCGAUUAAUAUUUUUAUUAUUACUAGAUGAUAAAAUAUGAAUAGUACUUUAUGUGUGACUAAUGUUUUUAAGUUUUUUAUAAUUUUUAAAUAAUACGAAUGGUCAAACGUCGGACACGAAAA